This 506-nucleotide ribosomal RNA is filed under the name uncultured bacterium. RNAcentral describes it as "partial 16S ribosomal RNA". It matches the Rfam family "Bacterial small subunit ribosomal RNA", at positions 28 to 523 of the family's 1533-position model. The record is from RNAcentral.
GAUGAACGCUAGCUACAGGCUUAACACAUGCAAGUCGAGGGGUAACGAGAGGGAAGCUUGCUUUCCUUGUCGACGACCGGCGCACGGGUGAGUAACGCGUAUCCAACCUGCCCCCAACUAGGGAAUAACCUUGCGAAAGUAAGACUAAUACCCUAUAAUUACCUCAGAUGUCAUCUGACGAGGAAUAAAGAUUUAUCGGUUGUGGAUGGGGAUGCGUCUGAUUAGCUUGUUGGCGGGGUAACGGCCCACCAAGGCAACGAUCAGUAGGGGUUCUGAGGUGAAGGUCCCCCACAUUGGAACUGAGACACGGUCCAAACUCCUACGGGAGGCAGCAGUGAGGAAUAUUGGUCAAUGGGCGGAAGCCUGAACCAGCCAAGUAGCGUGCAGGAUGACGGCCCUAUGGGUUGUAAACUGCUUUUAUACAGGAAUAAAGUUAGCCACGUGUGGUUAUUUGUAGGUACUGUAUGAAUAAGGACCGGCUAAUUCCGUGCCAGCCGCCGCAGUAA